GUGCUCGCUUCAGCAGCACAUAUACUAAAAUUAGAAUGAUACAGAGAAGAUUAGCAUGG
Bos indicus x Bos taurus (hybrid cattle) is the source of this 59-nucleotide small nuclear RNA. The record is from Ensembl. NCBI's taxonomy places the organism in Eukaryota, Metazoa, Chordata, Mammalia, Artiodactyla, Bovidae.